Molecule: ribosomal RNA, 447 nt
Filed under: uncultured bacterium
Lineage: Bacteria
Description: bacterial SSU rRNA
Rfam family: Bacterial small subunit ribosomal RNA
Source: RNAcentral
GACGAACGCUGGCGGCGUGCCUAAUACAUGCAAGUCGAACGCACUCUCGUUUAGAUUGAAGGAGCUUGCUCCUGAUUGAUAAACAUUUGAGUGAGUGGCGGACGGGUGAGUAACACGUGGGUAACCUGCCCUAAAGUGGGGGAUAACAUUUGGAAACAGAUGCUAAUACCGCAUAAAACCUAACACCGCAUGGUGUAGGGUUGAAAGAUGGUUUCGGCUAUCACUUUAGGAUGGACCCGCGGUGCAUUAGUUAGUUGGUGAGGUAAAGGCUCACCAAGACCGUGAUGCAUAGCCGACCUGAGAGGGUAAUCGGCCACACUGGGACUGAGACACGGCCCAGACUCCUACGGGAGGCAGCAGUAGGGAAUCUUCCACAAUGGACGAAAGUCUGAUGGAGCAACGCCGCGUGAGUGAAGAAGGUUUUCGGAUCGUAAAACUCUAGUUGUU